RNAcentral lists this ribosomal RNA (245 nucleotides) under uncultured bacterium. RNAcentral describes it as "partial small subunit ribosomal RNA". It matches the Rfam family "Bacterial small subunit ribosomal RNA", at positions 26 to 285 of the family's 1533-position model. The record is from RNAcentral.
AGAAUCAACGCUGGCGGCGUGCCUAACACAUGCAAGUCGAACGAGAAAGUGGAGCAAUCCAUGAGUAAAGUGGCGCACGGGUGAGUAACACGUGACUAACCUACCCUUGAGUGGGGGAUAACCUAGAGAAAUCUGGGCUAAUACCGCAUAAUACCUUCGGGUCAAUGGAGCAAUUCGCUUAAGGAGGGGGUCGCGGCCGAUUAGUUAGUUGGCGGGGUAAUGGCCCACCAAGACUGUGAUCGGUA